RNAcentral lists this ribosomal RNA (292 nucleotides) under uncultured bacterium. RNAcentral describes it as "partial 16S ribosomal RNA". It matches the Rfam family "Bacterial small subunit ribosomal RNA", at positions 505 to 796 of the family's 1533-position model. The record is from RNAcentral.
GUGUCAGCCGCCGCGGUAAUACAGAGGGUGCGAGCGUUGUCCGGAAUCACUGGGCGUAAAGGGCGCGUAGGCGGUGACUUAAGCGUGCGGUGAAAGCUCGGGGCUCAACCCCGAGUCGGCCGUGCGAACUGGGGAGCUGGAGCACGUCAGAGGCAGGCGGAAUUCCGGGUGUAGCGGUGGAAUGCGUAGAGAUCCGGAAGAACACCGGUGGCGAAGGCGGCCUGCUGGGGUGGAGCUGACGCUGAGGCGCGACAGCGUGGGGAGCAAACAGGAUUAGAUACCCCAGUAGUCC